AGUGAACGCUGGCGGUAGGCCUAACACAUGCAAGUCGAACGGCAGCACAGUAAGAGCUUGCUCUUACGGGUGGCGAGUGGCGGACGGGUGAGGAAUACAUCGGAAUCUACUUUUUCGUGGGGGAUAACGUAGGGAAACUUACGCUAAUACCGCAUACGACCUACGGGUGAAAGCAGGGGAUCUUCGGACCUUGCGCGAUUGAAUGAGCCGAUGUCGGAUUAGCUAGUUGGCGGGGUAAAGGCCCACCAAGGCGACGAUCCGUAGCUGGUCUGAGAGGAUGAUCAGCCAAACUGGAAUUGAGACACGGUCCAGACUCCUACGGGAGGCAGCAGUGGGGAAUAUUGGACAAUGGGCGCAAGCCUGAUCCAGCCAUACCGCGUGGGUGAAGAAGGCCUUCGGGUUGUAAAGCCCUUUUGUUGGGAAAGAAAAGCAGCAGGUUAAUACCCCGCUGUUCUGACGGUACCCAAAGAAUAAGCACCGGCUAACUUCGUG
This 492-nucleotide ribosomal RNA is filed under the name uncultured bacterium. Its description in RNAcentral is "partial 16S ribosomal RNA". It matches the Rfam family "Bacterial small subunit ribosomal RNA", at positions 29 to 507 of the family's 1533-position model. The record is from RNAcentral.